CAAUAGCGUAUAUUAAAGUUGUUGCAGUUAAAAAGCUCGUAGUUGGAUUUCGGGGCAGCCUGGCUGGUCCGCCGCAAGGCGAGUACUGGUCAGCCGCCCUUCCUCUCGAAAGCCCCGACUGCUCUUUAUUGCAGUGGUCGGGUAGUUCGGGACGUUUACUUUGAAAAAAUUAGAGUGUUCAAGGCAGGCCUACGCCUGAAUACAUUAGCAUGGAAUAAUGGAAGAGGACCUCGGUCCUAUUUUGUUGGUUUCCAGGACCGAAGUAAUGAUUAAGAGGGACAGUUGGGGGCAUUCGUAUUUAAUUGUCAGAGGUGAAAUUCUCGGAUUUACGAAAGACGAACAACUGCGAAAGCAUUUGCCAAGGAUGUUUUCAUUAA
Molecule: ribosomal RNA, 377 nt
Filed under: uncultured eukaryote
Lineage: Eukaryota
Description: partial 18S ribosomal RNA
Rfam family: Eukaryotic small subunit ribosomal RNA
Source: RNAcentral